Molecule: ribosomal RNA, 253 nt
Filed under: uncultured bacterium
Lineage: Bacteria
Description: partial 16S ribosomal RNA
Rfam family: Bacterial small subunit ribosomal RNA
Source: RNAcentral
UACAGAGGGUGCAAGCGUUAAUCGGAAUUACUGGGCGUAAAGCGUGCGUAGACGGUUAUUUAAGUCAGGUGUGAAAGCCCCGGGCUCAACCUGAGAAUUGCAUUUGAGACUGAAUAGCUAGGGUGCGGAAGAGGGAAGCGGAAUUUCCGGUGUAGCGGUGAAAUGCGUAGAUAUCGGAAGGAACACCAGUGGCGAAAGCGGCUUCCUGGUCCAGCACCGACGUUCAGGCACGAAAGCGUGGGGAGCAAACAGG